AGUUAAACAGUACGUGAAAUUGUUGAAAGGGAAACGAUUGAAGUCAGUCAUACCAACGGGAAAUCAACCUCUUGAGUUUGGUCUCGUGGGUUUCGAAGAGUUUAAAAGCCUUCGGAUUUUCGAGAUUGGGCUCUUCUGGUGUACUUUCUCGUACGGUUAGUCAACAUCGGUUUUGAAUGUCAUAAAAUGACUGGAGGAAUGUGGCUUCGAUCUCGUAUUGAAGUGUUAUAGCCUUUGGUAGAUGUGAUGUUCGAGACCGAGGAUUGCAACGGAUACCCUUCUGGGCUAUUCGUCUGAUCUCUGAAACGUUGCCUUGAUGUCGAAAGCUUGCUUAUGAUGUUAGGGUAUUACGGUCAAAAGGUUAGAACGGAUUAAAUUCGUUAAGGAUGUUGACGUAAUGACUUUAAA
RNAcentral lists this unclassified non-coding RNA (408 nucleotides) under uncultured Funneliformis. RNAcentral's name for it is "sequence contains 28S rRNA gene". Lineage: Eukaryota; Fungi; Glomeromycota; Glomeromycetes; Glomerales; Glomeraceae. The record is from RNAcentral.